RNAcentral lists this unclassified non-coding RNA (870 nucleotides) under Bombus terrestris (buff-tailed bumblebee). RNAcentral's name for it is "misc RNA ENSBTSG00005025654.1". The record is from RNAcentral. Lineage: Eukaryota; Metazoa; Arthropoda; Insecta; Hymenoptera; Apidae.
GGAAUGCACUUUCAGCCGGAGUUUCUAUCGACUCUGAAUCGUUGUUUGGCCAAAUAACGAACAUCAGAACGUAUAUUCCCAGCGUUGUUAUGUGGAGAUACCUCGCCGUUGGUGGGUGGAGUGACAGGCUCAGAUCAAUACUUAACAGGAACGAAUAGGGGACCAUUCAACGAGACACCGGUGUCUUGUAAUUUACAGAUAUGAUGCUGCUUCGACACUUGGUUAGAGACUCUUGACGGUUUCAAAGAUUUCAGCGGUAUAACGAUGAAAUUUGAUAGCUUGUGUCAGUGGAACUUUUUGGACGUUUGAGGAAUCGUUCGAGAUUGAACAUAUAUGUGGCAAAAACACAAGGAGGCUAUUGUUGGACGACAAAAGGAAGAUUCAGUAUAAUGUUCAUCGACGUUCAGAGGAAUUUCACAAUGACAGCAAUGACGUAUCGAUGAUUCGUCGGACAAAAACAAGGAAUUAUAACGUGGUCGAUCAAAGGCGCAAUCAACAGGUGUGGAAAUGAAAAACUGGCUUUGAUAUUCGAUCUACCGUAUGAAUUGCAAUUUUUGUUGGAAAAGAUAGACACUUUAUUCGAUGUAUGUAUGUAGGUAUAACGAACAAUUCACUGGCUGCUCGACAUCGUUCUGAAAUCUCCUUUCUCUAUAAAACGAUUGUGAGACUGUUUUAAAUAUGUUGCAAAAUCCUAUCGAGUAUCGGUUCGAAAAACGUAACACGAAAAGGCCAAUAAUUGCUACUGUAAGCAUCGAUGAACAGCGUUAAAAAACUCAACAAAUAUUCUAUUUACUUGCAUCCAUUAACAGUCAAUGUUAACGUAGAAUUUAAUUUUUCAUUUAUUUUUGUAUGCAAAAUAAUUAUCUCACA